CCUACGGGAGGCAGCAGUGAGGAAUAUUGGUCAAUGUGCGGAAGCCUGAACCAGCCAAGUAGCGUGCAGGAUGACGGCCCUACGGGUUGUAACCUGCUUUUAUACGGGAAUAACGCGCCUUAAGUGAAGGGCUUUGACUUUACCGGAUGAAUAAGGCCCGGCUGAUACCGUGCCAGGAGCUGCGGUAAUACCGAAGGUCCGGGCGUUAUCCGGAUUUAUUUGGGUUAAAGGGAGCGUAGGCCGCAUGUCAAGCGUGCUGUGAAAUGUCCGGGCUCAACCCGGGCCUGGCAGCGCGAACUGGCGUGCUUGAGUCCGCGGAAAGCAGGCGGAAUUCGUCGUGUAGCGGUGAAAUGCUUAGAUAUGACGAAGAACCCCGAUUGCGAAGGCAGCUUGCUGCAGCGGAACUGACGCUGAUGCUCGAAAGCGCGGGUAUCGAACAGGAUUAGAUACCCGAGUAGUC
RNAcentral lists this ribosomal RNA (460 nucleotides) under uncultured bacterium. Its description in RNAcentral is "partial 16S ribosomal RNA". It matches the Rfam family "Bacterial small subunit ribosomal RNA", at positions 338 to 795 of the family's 1533-position model. The record is from RNAcentral.